GACUCGCUAGCUCAGUUGGUAGAGCAACAGACUCUUAAUCUGUGGGUCCUGGGUUCGACCCCCAGGCGGGUCA
RNAcentral lists this transfer RNA (73 nucleotides) under Paludibacteraceae bacterium. RNAcentral describes it as "tRNA-Lys". It matches the Rfam family "tRNA". From Rfam's summary of the family: Transfer RNA (tRNA) molecules are approximately 80 nucleotides in length. Their secondary structure includes four short double-helical elements and three loops (D, anti-codon, and T loops). Lineage: Bacteria; Pseudomonadati; Bacteroidota; Bacteroidia; Bacteroidales; Paludibacteraceae. The record is from RNAcentral.